UCAGUCAUGCCACUAUUCAUUUUCUGAAUGCAUGAUUUGUACAAGCAAGGCAUUUUUUGUCAAGCACACAAACGAUUGUGUUGCUUUCCCUUUUCCUGUCGAGGAUGGUGCUCGGAAGUUGUUGUUAUUGAAGAUCUUUCCUCCAUUGCGUUUUCUACAGGAUGAGGCUUUAAGGGGGGCUUCCCUUUCUGGGUAUGCUUUUAACAGAGCGACACAUAUUCAACACUACCAAGUGUGAUUUAACAGAAAGAUAGUUGCAUCUCUGUCAUUCUUUUGAACUGCAAUCCAG
Cyprinus carpio carpio is the source of this 289-nucleotide long non-coding RNA. NCBI's taxonomy places the organism in Eukaryota, Metazoa, Chordata, Actinopteri, Cypriniformes, Cyprinidae. The record is from Ensembl.